Molecule: ribosomal RNA, 889 nt
Filed under: Escherichia coli
Lineage: Bacteria; Pseudomonadati; Pseudomonadota; Gammaproteobacteria; Enterobacterales; Enterobacteriaceae
Description: partial 23S ribosomal RNA
Rfam family: Bacterial large subunit ribosomal RNA
Source: RNAcentral
CAUAGGUUAAUGAGGCGAACCGGGGGAACUGAAACAUCUAAGUACCCCGAGGAAAAGAAAUCAACCGAGAUUCCCCCAGUAGCGGCGAGCGAACGGGGAGGAGCCCAGAGCCUGAAUCAGUGUGUGUGUUAGUGGAAGCGUCUGGAAAGGCGCGCGAUACAGGGUGACAGCCCCGUACACAAAAAUGCACAUAUUGUGAGCUCGAUGAGUAGGGCGGGACACGUGGUAUCCUGUCUGAAUAUGGGGGGACCAUCCUCCAAGGCUAAAUACUCCUGACUGACCGAUAGUGAACCAGUACCGUGAGGGAAAGGCGAAAAGAACCCCGGCGAGGGGAGUGAAAAAGAACCUGAAACCGUGUACGUACAAGCAGUGGGAGCCUCUUAAUGGGGUGACUGCGUACCUUUUGUAUAAUGGGUCAGCGACUUAUAUUCUGUAGCAAGGUUAACCGAAUAGGGGAGCCGAAGGGAAACCGAGUCUUAACUGGGCGUUAAGUUGCAGGGUAUAGACCCGAAACCCGGUGAUCUAGCCAUGGGCAGGUUGAAGGUUGGGUAACACUAACUGGAGGACCGAACCGACUAAUGUUGAAAAAUUAGCGGAUGACUUGUGGCUGGGGGUGAAAGGCCAAUCAAACCGGGAGAUAGCUGGUUCUCCCCGAAAGCUAUUUAGGUAGCGCCUCGUGAAUUCAUCUCCGGGGGUAGAGCACUGUUUCGGCAAGGGGGUCAUCCCGACUUACCAACCCGAUGCAAACUGCGAAUACCGGAGAAUGUUAUCACGGGAGACACACGGCGGGUGCUAACGUCCGUCGUGAAGAGGGAAACAACCCAGACCGCCAGCUAAGGUCCCAAAGUCAUGGUUAAGUGGGAAACGAUGUGGGAAGGCCCAGACAGCC